AUCUAAACUGUGUAAAUUAAACAGAAUCUUACGUUUUUAGUUAAAAUAAGACACUCUCACGGCUCUGCUUAUUUAGAGCUGUUAGACAGCAGACUCCAAGCAUUUGCCUCAAACAAUCCUAACAAUUGAAAUUGGACAAGGACGUGGACAAAAUUGGACAUGUACCAUGAGCAACUUUGUCGUCGCUUCUAUUAAACUAAACGUAGUGUACCAAGCCAAACGGAUAGCUGUUAGCUUGUUACAGAAUAGAUAUUCGACGAUUUUACAACGAAGCCGACGGAUCCAAUGUAGAUGCCGGUGCAAUCAGAUCCGUAUGAAAUCAAAAGUGCACAGGUGACUAACCUCUCCUGUUGGCCACAUUAGUAGCAACUAAGACAAUUGGGCACUUCAUUAAUAUAAGAAAAUAAAGUGGUAAUUUUUAUACA
Molecule: long non-coding RNA, 425 nt
Organism: Bombyx mori (domestic silkworm)
Lineage: Eukaryota; Metazoa; Arthropoda; Insecta; Lepidoptera; Bombycidae
Exons: 2
Source: RefSeq, a predicted model, not a curated record